AGAGUUUGAUCCUGGCUCAGGAUGAACGCUAGCGGCAGGCCUAACACAUGCAAGUCGAGGGGUAGAAGAAGCUUGCUUUUUUGAGACCGGCGCACGGGUGAGUAACGCGUAUGCAACCUACCUUAUACAGGGGAAUAGCCCGAAGAAAUUCGGAUUAAUGCUCCAUGGUUUAUCGAUAUGGCAUCGUAUUGAUAAUAAAGAUUUAUCGGUAUAAGAUGGGCAUGCGUAUCAUUAGCUAGUUGGUAUGGUAACGGCAUACCAAGGCGACGAUGAUUAGGGGUCCUGAGAGGGAGAUCCCCCACACUGGUACUGAGACACGGACCAGACUCCUACGGGAGGCAGCAGUGAGGAAUAUUGGUCAAUGGAGGCAACUCUGAACCAGCCAUGCCGCGUGCAGGAUGACGGUCCUAUGGAUUGUAAACUGCUUUUGUACAGGAAGAAACCUCCCUACGUGUAGGGACUUGACGGUACUGUAAGAAUAAGGAUCGGCUAACUCCGUGCCAGCAGCCGCGGUAAU
RNAcentral lists this ribosomal RNA (517 nucleotides) under uncultured bacterium. RNAcentral's name for it is "bacterial SSU rRNA". It matches the Rfam family "Bacterial small subunit ribosomal RNA", at positions 8 to 524 of the family's 1533-position model. The record is from RNAcentral.